AGUUAUUAAUUUGGGAGCUAUUUUUUGUUAUAUUUGUGUGUGAGUUGCAGCAAGAUUUUAAUAUUUUUGAGCUUGAUAGAAAUUUCAGUUUUACCCUAACAAAAGAUAUGAUUUAUCUUAUUAUUCCUUUUAAGCACUGAAUAGAUGGUGGAACUCCUGCCAACCCUCCUCUCUCCCAGCUCGAUGAGUUAAUCUUUGAGAUUUUGGACCCUAAGAAUGUCUCUAUUCAUGGGUGUACCAAUAAGGCAAGCAUCAUUGAAUGCACCUUCCUUAACAAAGGAUAAGCCACUUGUAGAUAUAGCAAUAUUAGGCCAUAAUGUUGUCUCAAAUGUCUGCAAUCCAAAAUACUCGUUCCCAUUUAGUUUACAACUUAGAGUUAAACACAAUAGUAAAUUUGUUAUCUAGUGUUGAGA
Long non-coding RNA from Portunus trituberculatus (swimming crab), 413 nucleotides. RefSeq lists it as uncharacterized. The transcript has 2 exons. Lineage: Eukaryota; Metazoa; Arthropoda; Malacostraca; Decapoda; Portunidae. The record is from RefSeq and is a predicted model, not a curated record.